UAGGGAAUCUUCGGCAAUGGGGGGAACCCUGACCGAGCAACGCCGCGUGAGUGAAGAAGGUUUUCGGAUCGUAAAGCUCUGUUGUUAAGGAAGAACGAGUGUGAGAAUGGAAAGUUCAUGCUGUGACGGUACUUAACCAGACAGGGACGGCUAACUACGUGCCAGCAGCCGCGGUAAUACGUAGGUCCCGAGCGUUGUCCGGAUUUAUUGGGCGUAAAGCGAGCGCAGGCGGUUAGAAAAGUCUGAAGUGAAAGGCAGUGGCUCAACCAUUGUAGGCUUUGGAAACUGUUUAACUUGAGUGCAGAAGGGGAGAGUGGAAUUCCAUGUGUAGCGGUGAAAUGCGUAGAUAUAUGGAGGAACACCGGUGGCGAAAGCGGCUCUCUGGUCUGUAACUGACGCUGAGGCUCGAAAGCGUGGGGAGCGAACAGG
Molecule: ribosomal RNA, 429 nt
Filed under: Verrucomicrobiota bacterium
Lineage: Bacteria; Pseudomonadati; Verrucomicrobiota
Description: Verrucomicrobia bacterium partial 16S ribosomal RNA
Rfam family: Bacterial small subunit ribosomal RNA
Source: RNAcentral